RNAcentral lists this ribosomal RNA (512 nucleotides) under uncultured eubacterium SRangA. RNAcentral's name for it is "SSU rRNA". It matches the Rfam family "Bacterial small subunit ribosomal RNA", at positions 526 to 1044 of the family's 1533-position model. The record is from RNAcentral.
CGGAGGGUGCAAGCGUUACUCGGAAUCACUGGGCGUAAAGCGCGCGCAGGCGGCCUUGUAAGUUGGAUGUGAAAGCCUACGGCUCAACCGUAGAACUGCAUCCAAAGCUACUCGGCUAGAGUGUGGGAGGGGAAGAUGGAAUUAGUUGUGUAGGGGUAAAAUCCGUAGAGAUAACUAGGAAUACCAAAAGCGAAGGCAAUCUUCUGGAACACUACUGACGCUGAGGCGCGAAAGCGUGGGGAGCAAACAGGAUUAGAUACCCUGGUAGUCCACGCCCUAAACUAUGAAUGUUAGUCGUCGGGAGGCUCGUCCUUUCGGUGAUGCAGCUAACGCAUUAAACAUUCCGCCUGGGGAGUNCGGUCGCAAGAUUAAAACUCNAAGGGAAUAGACGGGGACCCCGCACAAGUGGUGGAGCAUGUGGUUUAAUUCAAGAUACCGAAGAACCUUACCUACCUUGACAUUGAUAAAUCCGGUAAAUACUGGAUGCCCUUCCGGACUUGAACAGGUGCUGC